GAUGAACGCUAGCGGCAGGCCUAAUACAUGCAAGUCGAACGGGUGGUCGCAAGACCACUAGUGGCGCACGGGUGCGUAACGCGUAACCAACCUGCCCCGAUCUGGGGGAUAGCCCGCCGAAAGGCGGAUUAAUACCGCAUAUACCCGCAGCCUGGCAUCAGGCAACGGGGAAAGAUUUAUUGGAUCGGGAUGGGGUUGCGUGACAUUAGCUAGUUGGCGGGGUAAGGGCCCACCAAGGCGACGAUGUCUAGGGGACCUGAGAGUGUGAUCCCCCACACUGGCACUGAGAUACGGGCCAGACUCCUACGGGAGGCAGCAGUAGGGAAGAUUGGGCAAUGGGCGAGAGCCUGACCCAGCCAUGCCGCGUGCCGGAUGAAGGCCUUCUGGGUUGUAAACGGCUUUUCUCAGGGAAGAAAAAGACCUUGCGAGGUACACUGACGGUACCUGAGGAAUAAGCACCGGCUAACUCCGUG
Molecule: ribosomal RNA, 473 nt
Filed under: uncultured bacterium
Lineage: Bacteria
Description: partial 16S ribosomal RNA
Rfam family: Bacterial small subunit ribosomal RNA
Source: RNAcentral